UCGCCUCCAUUGGAAUUUGAGUUGCGUUACACGCUUCCAUCUUUGUGUCACGCAGGAUUCCUUGAGCAUACCUCUCUUGUUUUAUUCUGAUUCUGUCUGCUCCUUGAAUCACCUCUAUGCCUAGGUAGUACGUUAGCUUACCUAGAUUGACAUCUCUCAUUCUCCCCCUCAAGCUAAGGACCACACACCUUGUGCCCUUUCCUCUAGCGAAUCAUCUCGGUGCCUUGUCGCAUCUUCGACAUUCGACACCCUUAGUCGCAAGGUUACUUUGAGUUGCUUUGAGGAUGCUCUUCCCACAAUUUCAGGAUCUUCUGACUAAUCUCUGCCGAACUUCCCUUUCCACCUGAAGGGUCCCAUUCCUACUCGAAGGGUAUUUUGGUCGUCUUCCAGAUCUUCUUCAAACCGCUCUGAUACCAAUUGUUGGGAUUGUGAAAUCCCGUGUCCAACUCUAUAUUGUCCGAUUAGUACGAUAUUGUCCACUUUGGGCCUUAACCAAGCCCGCAUGGAUUUACUUUUGGUUUCCUUCCCAAUAGGCCUCGUACUAAUUAGAGUUGGACAUCUCUUUAUAUAUUAGACACUCCUUGUCUAAACUUGCACUGCCUUUGUCAAAUUCACCUCCAUUGGAAUUUGAGUUGCGUUACACGCUUCCAUCUUUGUGUCACGCAGGAUUCCUUGAGCAUACCUCUCUUGUUUUAUUCUGAUUCUGUCUGCUCCUUGAAUCACCUCUAUGCCAAGGUAGUACGUUAGCUUACCUAGAUCAGACAUCUCGAACUUCUUAGACAUCUCCUCCUUGAAUUGCCUAAUCACCUUAAGUGAAGUUCCUGUCACAAAUAGAUCAUCAACGUAGAUGGCAAUGAUCAAGACGUCUCCUCCUUCAGUCUUGCAGUACACUGAUGGUUCCUUCGUGCACUUCUCAAAUCUCAUCUCCUUGAGAAUCUGAUCGAGUUUCACAUUCCAUGCCCUGGGUGUCUGGCGUAACACAUGCAACCCCUUGUGUAGCACACAAACUCGAUCCUCUUCUCUUUUCUUCUCAGAACCAGUCGGUCUAUCUACAAGCUCCAAUAUCUUGUUUCUUGUGAUAGAUUUCAACUCGCCUGUCAUAGCUUCAAUCCAAUUUUCUUCACAAACUAGAUUGAGCUCAUCUGAGGCUAACUCUCCUCCUCUAUCGGUGCAUCCUAGACUGAACAUAGCCGAGGCAACCUCUCCUCCUCUAUUGGUGAAACGUAGGUUGAAUACAGCUGAGGCAAAAUCUCCUCCUCCAUCGGUGUGAAAUCUUUUGAACCGAUAGAAUGCCUCACGAUGAUUUGCUAGCGUUGGUGGUGCGAUCCAUCCACACAAAUCUCCAAGCAAUAAUCCCAAUGGUUUGAUGUGCAAACCAUGGCCUUAGUCGGGAAUGAGUCUAUGAUUUGCUUCUCUGCAAAACAUGUGUCACACACGGCUUCUCCGUGUGUUACACUCGGUAACGAGUGUCUAAUAUGCUUCUUUGCUAGACAUGUGUUACACACGCCUUCUUCGUGUGUUACACUCUGCAUUCCGACGAUCAUCUCCUUCCUUACCAUGUUAUUCAUCACUCCAUAGCUUAUAUGUCCUAGCCUAGCAUGCCACCUCCAUGUAGCAUCUACGUCUCUGACAUGUAAACAUUUCGGGUAGCUUAUCUCCAUAGGGGUCUUGUAGAGACGGUUUGGAGAUCUUGUCACACGAACUAGCAACCUUCCAUGCGAAUCUGUGGGCGUUAAGUAGACAUCUUUCAUGUUAACCUCACAUCCGUUUUCUGUUGCUUGCCCAAGACUCAAUAUAUUGUGCUUCAGAUUGGGUAUGUAGUAUAUGUCCUUGAGUGCCUUCUUCUCUCCAGUCUUGCACACAAAGGUAACCACACCCUUUCCUACAAUGUCAACACACGAUCCAUCACCAAACUUCACCUUCCCUUUGGUGUUGAGAUUCAAACUCGAAAAGAACUCCUUGUUCCCUGUCAUGUGAUUGCUCGCUCCAUUAUCCAAAUACCAGACACUUGCACUGCCUUUGUCGAUAUCAAGAUUCUUCGGAAUCACCUUAUCUUCGUUCAAAAACACCACCUCGUGUACAUAGAGUGCAUCAGCCUCUUCUGUCUCGUUUAGGUUGGUUUCUUGAUUCUUCUCUGUCUUUUCGGGACAGACAGUUGCGUAGUGACCAGGCUUGUCACAUCUCCAACAUAUCAGCUUUGAACGAUUCUUCUUCGAGUUGUUAUCUUCGGUGUGUUACGUACGGUUUUGGUUGUGUGACCUACCUCGACCUCUGCCUCUACCGUUCCGUCCUCUUCCUCUACCACGGGAAUUCUCAUAGCCCCUCUGACUAUGCUCUUCAUUGUUCGAAAACAUCAGUUUCCCUUGGUCUUCUUUCUGAGUUUCUUCUCCUACACGCUCCUCGUAUGCCUUAAGCCUUCCAACUAUGUCUUCAAACCCCGUCGAGUUGAGAUCUAGGACUUGCUCAAGUGAUGCUACGAUCUGGAUAUACUUGUGUCUUGGAAGACCCUUCAAGAACUUCUUGACCAUCUUGGAUUCUUCUAUGUUUUCUCCCAACGAGGUUGCUUUGGAUGAUAGGCCCGAUAUCUUCCCCGCGAAGUCAUCGACCGUAUCCCAUCAUCCAUCUUCAACCUAUCAAACUCCGUCAUCAACGUCUGAAGUCUCGCCUCCCUUACACGUUCAGCUCCUAGGUGUCGCGACUUGAUGGCAUUCCAGAUCUCUUUUGAUGCGGUUUGUUCUCCCACCUGGAGAAUCAAAGUCUCUGGAACAGAUUGAAACAAAAGAGCUAUCGCAACAUCGUUCUUCUUUUGAUCAUCGGAACCGGGUUCGAUUGUGUCCCACACUUCAUGAACACGUAGUAGAACCUUCAUCCUCAUCGACCAAACUGUGUAGUUUGUCGGUGACAACAUCGGACAUUGGAUGGAUGUAGAUCCAAAGUCCUUCGUGCGUGGAGCCCUAGUCACGUCAGCCAUCUUGCCGUCGCGAUCUCUUGUUCACAAGCACCAGGAUCUUAAGCUACAACUUAAGCUUAGAUCGAGUCUCCAACCUGAGGCUCUGAUACCAAUUCAGAUCUCUUAGAAACACAAAGAGUUAUAAGAACAACUUUUCUUAUUAGCUUUAGAAACUACUCAAAACUAAAGCUCUCAAUAUGUUUCUCUCAGAUCAUAUGGAACACCUCUCAAUUAGACGUAUAUUUAUAUGAAAGACAAUUCCCUUUAACAUGUGGGAUAUGGAAAACACAAACCUAACCUAAAUAGAAACUUCCUUUUCCUAUUUCUAAGUUUCCUUAUUGUGUUUAUCUUAACAUAUUAAACAUCUAAUAAUAUGUUAAGUUUCCACAAGCUUGGAAUUAUCCAACAAAAAUAACCAACUUGGAGGUUUAAUUCCAAAAGAGAUCAAAAAUCUUUUUCGUCUAAGGGUUCUUAAUUUAAGCUCUAACAGCUUAGAAGGAUCCUUACCUUCCAACCUAAGCAAGUUGAUAGAGCUACGAGUUCUUGAUCUAACCUCAAACAAGAUCACGGGUCUCGUUCCAAAAAAACUUGGUGAUCUCAAGAACCUAUAUAUUUUAAACUUGGGAAAAAAUCGGUUACAUGGACCAAUUCCACCAUAUCUUUCAAACAUAUCAUCUCUCACCGUUUUAAGCCUAGGCAGAAACUUUCUUAGUGGUCCAGUUCCUUUCGAGUUGGGUCGUCUCCAAAGGCUACAAGUCCUUGAUGCCACCAUAAACAACCUCACUGGAGAAAUCCCUCCAUCUAUUUACAACACCUCGUCACUAGAAUCGUUAGCCCUUGCUUCAAACAGCUUAUGCAGUCAAUUUCCUAGCAACAUUGGAGACAUACUUCCAAAACUCCUGGUUUUCAACAUGUGUUUCAACAAGUUCACCGGAGAGAUUCCAGCUUCUCUAUACAACCUCACUAAAAUUAAGGUGAUCCGUGCUGCAUUCAACCAUUUAGAAGGGACCAUAACAUCAGGAUUAGGCAAUCUCCCAUUCCUAGAAAUGUACAACAUUGGAUUCAAUUUAGUUAAGGGUAGAGAUCAAGAUCUUGAUAGUUUCAUCAAGUCUUUGAGUAAUAGUUCCCAGCUUGACUUCCUGGGAUUUAAUGGAAAUCUCUUGGAGGGUGUUAUUCCGGUAUCUAUAGGCAAUCUUUCCAAGCAUCUUUCUACACUUUUAAUGGGAGGAAACCGCUUCAGCGGAAAAAUUCCGGAGUCCAUCGGCUAUCUAACAGGAUUGCGUCUGCUUAACAUAAGUGACAAUUCACUUACUGGUGAAAUCCCUCAAGAUAUUGGGAAACUGAAAGAUUUGCAAGAGUUAGAACUAGCAAGAAAUCAACUUACUGGAAGAAUCCCAGAUUCUAUUGGUGAUCUUGGUGCAUUAAAUAAGAUCAAUCUAGCGCAGAACAAACUUGAAGGUGUGAUCCCACCAUCAUUUGGAAACUUCAAGAAUAUGUUAUACAUGGAUCUAUCCAACAAUAGGCUAAAUGGAAGCAUACCGAAUGGAGUUCUUAACCAACCUAGCUUGAGCGUCGUCUUGAAUCUAUCUAAAAACCUAUUUUCUGGUCCUAUUCGUAAAGAUAUAAGUAGCCUCGAAAGCCUUGUGAGUCUAGAUCUCUCUAGUAACAACUUCUCAGGCCACAUUCCUUCAUCUAUCAAAGAUUGUCAAAGCUUGGAGAACCUAAAAAUGGUUGGCAAUAAUCUAGACGGACCAAUCCCGGAUGCAUUAGCAGAAGUAAAAGGUCUAGAGUUUCUAGAUCUUUCUUCAAACCAGCAUUCCGGUGUUAUUCCUCCAAAACUUCAAGAUUUACAAGCAAUGAAGUUCUUGAAUAUUUCAUUCAACAAUCUUGAAGGAUGGGUCCCAAGCCGUGGAGCUUUCAAAGAUCGUUCUAAAGUUUAUAUGGAGGGGAAUCCAAAGCUCUGCAUUCACACUUGUCGAAAAACUCGGACGCACAGAAAACUUUUGAAAGUUAGCAUUAUUACAUGUGUGGUUGGUCUGAUUGCAAUAUGUGUGAUAAGUUUCUUGAUUUAGAAAAGAAAGGAAAAUAAUUCUUCCACAUCUACAUCAUCAUCAUCAUCUUCACUCCUCAAGGAACCAUUUAUGAAUGUCUCAUAUGAUGAGCUCAGGCGAGCUACUGAGACUUUCAACCCUAGAAAUCUUCUUGGUGUUGGAAGCUUUGGAUCGGUAUUCAAAGGGGUGAUACGAGGGGUUGAUGUUGCGGUGAAAGUCAUUGAUCUCAAGGCAAACGGAUACUACAAAGGCUUUAUAGCAGAGUGUGAGGCUUUAAGGAAUGUAAGGCACAUGAAUCUUGUGAAACUAAUAACUUCUUGUUCAAGCAUAGACUUCAAAAACAACGAGUUUCUGGCUUUGGUGUAUGAGUUCUUAAGCAAUGUAAGCUUAGAAGAAUGGAUCAAAGGUAAACAUAGAAAAACUGUUGGGACUGUUGGGUUAAGUCUUGAAGAAAGAGUGAAUGUAGCCAUUGACAUUGCCUCUGCAUUGGAUUAUCUGCACAACGAUUGUGAAGUUCAUGUGGUUCAUUGUGAUCUAAAACCUAGCAAUAUUCUUCUAACCGAAGACAUGGUUGCAAAGGUCGGCGAUUUUUUUUUUUUUUUUUGAACGAAUGUUAAAUUUAUUCAUCAAAAAAACUCUUCUUACAUCAAGUGUAUACCUUUAAAUUUGAGAUAAAUCUUCUAAAACCUCCAACCUUAGAAAAAAUUUUAAAUUCUAGUACUAAACCAAAACUGCAAACCACUUUCCCACCCUUUAACUCUUUUGGACCUCAUAAUGCUCAGCUUGUUUCUUAUACUUUUGUCCACCAUUUUUAUAAUAGCUGCAAUAGGAGUAGGCUUCUCUUCAUGUUUGAUCCUAUUUCUCUCCCUCCACAAAGUAUGCACAGCAAUUUGCAAAGCAUAACACAGACAAAACCUCUUCUUCCUUUCCAUUCCCUCAUCCGAUAUGAUCUCAAAAAUGCUCGACCAAACAUUUGUGUAAUCACCAGCCAGAAUCCCCUUAGUUAACUGCUCCCACAGCUGACUAGAGAAGGAACAUUAAAAAAAUAAAUGGUUCCUAGAUUCCAAAUCCCUUUUACAAAGCACACAAGUUGUGUCCGCACCAGGAUCCCACUGAACGAUUCUGUCCAUUGUUGAGAGUCUGUUCCGAGAAGCCAGCCAUGAAACAAACGCAUACUUAGGAGUCGCCUUUGAGAACCAAAUACUCCUAGCCCAACUACACCUCUCCUUUUGCGAACGAAACAACAUCCAAGUAGCAUGUGUUGAGAAUUUUUGUCUAUACCCCGACCCAUCCCUCCACAUAUUUACAUCCUCAUUCUCCACUCGUAGCUUCCUCCGAACAGUCUCCAUUUCUGCCUCAAUUUCCCUAAGAGCGAAAGAACGAUAACUUCUCCUCCUUUUAUCUCUCAUAAUAGCUUCUGCUACUGUGGCUUCACGUUUAAUGCCCAUAUCUACUAUACCUCUUUCCCCCAACAGUGUAAUUAGAACUCCCUUCUCAGACCAAUGAUCAAACCAGAAAGAAGUAUUCCUUCCAUUCCCCAAGUCUUUUUUAUGAAAACUCCUUGCAACUCCUCUCAUUUUGAUCAUCUUUCUCCACAUCCAAGACCUCAUCUGCGUAUCCUCCUUGAUCUCCCAGAAAUUCUUUUGCUCUAAUAGGUUACUCCUUAUCCAUUUCCCCAGAGAGAUGAUCCCGUGAGUAGCCUCCAAAUGAUUUUUAAAACAUUUACUCUAUUCACCACCUUAAGAUCUCUUAUGCCCAGACCUCCCUCCUCUUUUUCCCAACAAACCGUUGACCAAGCCACUUUAGCACCGGUAGACUUCAGUUCUGGACCCGACCACAAAAAUGCUCCACAGAUUCAAUAUCCCGAAUACAUUUACUAGGAAGUAGGUAGGCUGAAGCCCAAAAAUUUACCAAACUCAUUAUCACAGCUUUGAUCAACUACAAGCGCCCGGCAUAAGAGAGAAACCUACUCGUCCAUGUGCUAAUCCGACAUCUAAUCUUCUCCACCAAAGGAAAGUAAUCUUGCUGUCUCAUAGCUUUGGUCGUCAAAGGCAGUCCCAGAUAACGGAUUGGAACUCACCCUUCGCAAAAGGAAAAUUUGAUAAUAUUCUACUCUCUUCCCCUUCAGAGACCCCAUAAAGAUACAACGUAGACUUCUCAAUGCUAAUCUUCAAACCCGACCACUCAGAAAACUGAUCAAAGACAGAUAAGGCUCCCUGGACUGACUCCUUUGAUCCUUCCACGAAUAUCAUCAGAUCAUCCGCAAAACACAAGUGAGUAAGAGCUAGGGACUUACAGCGAGGAUGAUACUUGAAAGCUCUUACCGCUGCGGCACUUUCAAUCUUUUUGGAGAGCACAUUCAUACAUAAAACAAAUAGGUAUGGAGAAAGAGAACACCCUUGGCGCAACCCUCUUGAGCUUUGAAAGUAUCCAGCCAAAUCCCCAUUAACUUGUACUAAAAAAGAAGCCGUGGAUAUACAGAGCUUGAUCAGACCAAUGAACUUCUCCGGGAUUCCCAAAGCUUCUAAGCUCUUUAAAACAAAGUCUCAUUGUACUGAGUCAAAGGCCUUGGAAAUAUCAAUCUUCAUAACUCCCCUCGGCGAACCUAAACCCUUAUGAUAGUCCUUCACUAACUCAGAAGCCAAGAGAACAUUCUCCAUUAAUAGACGCCCCUCAAUGAAAGCAGACUGGUUCUCAGAUAUUAUCUUGGGAAGAAUUCUCUUCAAUCUAUUAGCCAGUAUCUUUGAAACCACCUUGUACAAGACGUUACAACAAGAUAUUGGCCUAAAAUCCUUCAUCUCCAACGAGUCUUCUUUCUUCGGAACCAGAGCAAGAAUUGUAGAAUUCACACCUUUCGGGAGAAAGCUGAACUUGAACACUGACUGAAAAGCUACAAUGAAAUCAUGACCAACCACUGGCCAAGCAGUACGGAAGAAUUCACUUGGGAAUCCAUCAGGUCCUGGUGAUUUAUGAGAAGGCAUAGAGAAAAUAACCUUGCGAAUCUCCUCACCAGUUACCUCCGCAUCCAAGUAUCUACCAUCCUCUUCAGAACAUCUAUACUGCAACAGCUCUUUUAGUUCAUCUACAGACACACCCUUAUAAUCAUCAGGACACUGGUUCAGAAACUCAGAGAAAUGUCUUUCAGCCUCCCCUUUUAUUUCCUCGUGAGUUACAACCCUCCUACCAUCAGAACAGCGAAUUUCUCUCAUAGCAUUUUGUGCUCUUCUAGCUCGGAUAGAGUUAUGAAAAGUUUUGUUGUUGAGAUCCCCCACUUCCAACCAAUGCAACUUGGCUUUUUGUUUAAGAUGAUCUUCUUCUAACCCAGCUACAAACAACCAUUUCUCAUAAGCUUCUGCCUCCUCUUGAACACUUACAUCCGUAGCCAAAACUAAAGUAUUCUUCUGCUUUUCACAAAGAACUUCAUAGGCUUCCUGAGCUCGCUUUGUAAGAUUACCUAGAUUCUCUCUUCCCAGCGUACGAAUAAGAGGUUUCAGGUUCUUUAACUUUUUUGAGAAUCUGAACAUAGCAGAAGUAGAAUGGAAAAGAACCUCAGUCGACUCCUAGUAUUCCUGAACCAUAGGUAGGAAACCUGAUAAACUCCCAAUUGCGUUCACUUAAACGGCUUCUUUAUCUUUUCCAUUGGUGGCUUCAACUGGAUUUUGCACCGCAGGUGAUCAGAGCAACCCCCUGGCUCAAACGUUGCAAAUCCAUUCUGAAACCUAUUCAGAGCAUCACCAUUCAUCAGAACCCUGUCAAGCUUCUUGCAAAUCACUCCCUCCUCUCUUUUAUUGCACCAUGUAUAAAGUGGCCCUUGAUAACCCAUGUCUGAUAGAUCACACAGCAAGACCAUCCGGUGGAAAUCUCUCAUCCCGCUUGGACGCCUACCAAGAUUUGAAAAACCCGAGCUUUCCUCACCCUCCAAAAUAUCAUUAAAAUCUCCCAUCAACAUCCACUCUUUACCUCGAAACAUCGGAGAAGAAUGAUGAUCAUGAAGAUCCUCCCAUAACACCUUCCUCUCUUCAACCGCAUUACUAGCAUAUAUGAAAGUGCAGAAAAAAACAUCUUCAUUCUGCAAACCCACAGAGCAAGUAAUAAACUGAUCUGACUUGUAAACCGGAGUCAUCCUCACCGAGUCUCUCCAGAGUAGCCAAAUCCUCCCCCCCUGACUGUAUUCGUAAUUUACCAUCACUGACCAAUCACUAAAAACCGAACUUAGUAUCUUCCCUGCUCUCCCUUCCUUCACCCUUGUUUCUAGCACACACCCAAACAACAUAUCACUUCCACGGAUCCAUUCUUUUACAACGGAAUGCUUCAACAACUUAUUAAAUCCGCGCACAUUCCAAAAGAACCCAGCCAUACUUAGUUUUGAUGACGAGAAGACCUUUUAGUCCCUGGAUUUUCAUCCCGAGCUUUAGCCUUCUGCCCUUUUUUCCUUCCCCGUUGACCCAUUACUUUAUUUUUUCCUCUACUUUUUUCUAACAAACCAUCCUCAAUCUUAUCUUCCUCCAAGAUUUCCUCUAUCACAUCCACAUUACCUUACUCCUCAAUAAUUUCUUUCCCUUCCUCUACUGUUUCUCCAUCCUCUUCUUCAUUAGUGCUCAAAAUACUAUACUUUGACGAGGAUAUAUGUAUCUCACUCCCUAUUUGCUUCGGGGUACUUGGUUGUGAACGACCAAUUCUCCCCUGUGGCACUUUAGCCCAGUCAUCCCCAGUAUCAUCGCUUAUCUCCUCCUUGUUUCUCUCUGGCUGAACUUCUCCUCUUAAAGGUGAUGCUUCCCCAGAAUCCCCAACACUAACUCCAGCACUGACUCCAGCACUUUCCUCCUUAUGUUCUUCCCCAUCCUUUCUGACAUUAUCAUCCUUUAGAUCAGGAGCAGUUUCCUUUUCUUUUCCCUUUUUACCCAUAGCACACACCUUCUCUGAGUGUCCCCAUUUGUCACAAUGUUUACACUUAGAGAGAAGCCAUGGAUAAUCAAACUCCACUGUAAACUCCUCACCUCUACUUGUAAAACUCAUCUCCUUUGGCAAAACUUUUGUAACAUCCACUUUUACAAAAAUCUUCGCCACUUCAAAGCUAGUACAGGCAAGUGUCUCCGGAUGAAGCUUAACUGGGAAACCCACUGGACUCGCCAGGAGACUCAGGCCCUCCCAAGAGAACAAAUGCAAUGGAACCUUUGUAAGAUUGAUCCACGUGGGUAUCGUAUCCUCCUCUUGCUUCUCUUCUUCAGAACGUGGUGUCCAUUUACUGACAAUCAUCGGAAUCCCCACAAUGUUCCACAUCCCACGCCUGAUAAUCUUCUCCCUUGCUUUAGGAUUCGAAACCUUGAACCUCAUCAUCGUUUCAUUAACUUCAUAGACCUUUGCUGCUAGAUCCCCAUAUUUCCAGAUCUUAUUGAGAACCAUAUGGACUUUUGCUACGUGAGGAGCUUGAUCCAAAAACUUCCCAACUAAAAAAUCAUCCCAAAUCGGAGUCGAUUUAGUGAUUACCUCUUCCGGAAUCUCCACAGUUUGUUUCCCCCCUUUUUCCAAGAUCUCAACAUCGUAUUUCUUCAGAGAUUUCUUAUCCUGCGCCACAACAGCCCAACUUUGAUCCAUUUUCUUCUCCCCCAACACCUUAUCCUCAUUCCAAGACUUCCCCCCCCCCCCCCGAUUCCCCUCCCGGAGAACCCGGUAAAUCCGGCGGAUCCGCCGUCGCCAUCGAACCAACGAAACCGUCGUCAAUAUCGCACUCAGAAUCGCCCUUUCUCUCUCUAAGGUCGGCGAUUUUGGGUUGGCUCGUGUGCUGUUUGACGCAUCCGAUGAUCGUCAUCACGCUUCUAUAAGCUCCACACAUGUCUUGAAAGGCUCCAUUGGUUAUAUUCCUCCAGAGUAUGGGAUUGGAGAAAAGCCAUCACAAGCAGGAGAUGUGUAUGGCUUUGGAGUGAUGUUGUUAGAGCUCUCGAGUGGAAAAAGCCCAAUGGACGAGUUCUUCGAAGGAGAUCAAAACCUAAUAUCUUGGAUAAGUUAUGGGUUUCAAGGUAAUGCAAUUAUGGAAGUGAUUGAUCCUAAACUUAAGAGACUCAUCGAUGUUUCUGGGGCACAACUUCAUGCAAAACUUGACUGCCUUAAGAAGACUAUUGAAGUUGGCUUGGCUUGUACUGCGUAUGCAGCUGGAGAACGGAUGAACAUGAGAGACGUGCUACGUUUAUUGAAAGAGGCCAAGGGCAUGCUUAUCAAGGGAAACUAAUUGAUUAUAUUUUUCUAUUAGUUAUUUUAAGUGAAUAUAUAAGUUUUCUUUUGUCGGGAAUAUAUGUUUAUCUUAUCUCUGUAGUUACAAGUUUUGUUUCAUAAGGUUUGUAAUUUUGUAGUAAAAACUUGUUGCUUGUAAUUUUCUGAAAAUAAAGAUAUUGAAUAGCAGUAGUACUAGGA
RNA transcript from Brassica napus (rape), 11409 nucleotides. It is a transcript of the gene named receptor-like protein kinase 7, with no coding region annotated. The record is from RefSeq and is a predicted model, not a curated record. Lineage: Eukaryota; Viridiplantae; Streptophyta; Magnoliopsida; Brassicales; Brassicaceae. The transcript is spliced from 2 exons.